GUAGGUGGCAAGCGUUGUCCGGAAUUAUUGGGCGUAAAGCGCGCGCAGGCGGUUCUUUAAGUUCUGAUGUGAAAGCCCACGGCUCAACCGUGGAGGGUCAUUGGAAACUGGAGAACUUGAGUACAGAAGAGGAAAGCGGAAUUCCACGUGUAGCGGUGAAAUGCGUAGAGAUGUGGAGGAACACCAGUGGCGAAGGCGGCUUUCUGGUCUGUAACUGACGCUGAGGCGCGAAAGCGUGGGGAGCAAACAGGAUUAGAUACCCUGGUAGUCCACGCCGUAAACGAUGAGUGCUAAGUGUUAGGGGGGUUUUCCGCCCCCCUUAGUGCUGCAGCUAACGCAUUAAGCACUCCGCCUGGGAGUACGGCCGCAAGGCUG
This 375-nucleotide ribosomal RNA is filed under the name uncultured organism. Its description in RNAcentral is "partial 16S ribosomal RNA". It matches the Rfam family "Bacterial small subunit ribosomal RNA", at positions 527 to 896 of the family's 1533-position model. The record is from RNAcentral.